This 560-nucleotide long non-coding RNA is filed under the name Nicotiana benthamiana. Its description in RNAcentral is "long non-coding RNA (NBEN_LNC006413)". The record is from RNAcentral. Lineage: Eukaryota; Viridiplantae; Streptophyta; Magnoliopsida; Solanales; Solanaceae.
GACUUCAUCGCAAUUCUUCAGUAUAUAUAUAUGUGCUUGUUCCAAUUCAUUUGCUUCAACGUCACAUUGUUCUUUAGCUCCCAGAGUACUUCCAGGUUGAUAGAACAUAGAUAAACCUCCAUUAGAUUUUUUCAAACCCCCGACAUAAUUUCAUUCAAGUCGAUUGAAUUUUGCGUCAAUCGUAUGAAGAUACCGUGAACAUAAGGUCAUACAUUCAUUUGUAAUGUAGCCCUCUGCAAUAGAGCGUUUCGUUCAGGUCGAUUGAAUUUUGUUUUCAAUCGUAUGCAGAUACCGUGAAAAUAAGGUCAUACAUUCAUUUGUAAUGUAGCCCUCUGAAACACAUCCUUCUAGACAUGCCCUAUUACCAAUCAAAGAUUUCAAAAAAUAUAACCAUCAUUCCACAGGAUACAUCCACUGAUAAUGAAUAGGUCCAGCAAUCUCAGCUUCAGUAGCUAAAUGAAUAGGCAAGUGCACCAUGACAUCGAAAAAUGAAGGAGGGAAGACCUUUUCUAACUUGCAAAGCAUUACGGGAAUUUGCGCUUCAAUUUGUUUCAAGUCAU